Ficedula albicollis (Collared flycatcher) is the source of this 585-nucleotide long non-coding RNA. RefSeq lists it as uncharacterized. The transcript has 4 exons. NCBI's taxonomy places the organism in Eukaryota, Metazoa, Chordata, Aves, Passeriformes, Muscicapidae. The record is from RefSeq and is a predicted model, not a curated record.
AGUCUGUUAAACUGCAAGCUUGUGGUAAUGCCAUGUGAGAAGAUGAGGAGAGGGAAAUGCACAGAUAAAAACCGCUUCUCCAUUGUUGUUAUUUCCAAGUGAUGACUGAUGGAAUCUCUGCUAAUGCAGCGAGUGAGCUGGGGCUGCUCCAGGUGCAUGCUCCAACUCUUCAAAAUAUCCACUGGACACAGAGGACCCACUGCCUGCAGACCUAGACAUGUCUGGAUAAGGGGGAUCUGCCAAAAGAGGCCUCAGGCUGGAGAACUCAGGGCACAGUAGGUACACUCCUCACAUGGAAAAAAAGACAAUCCCUGUCUGAAGAAUUCUGGGCUAUGUGAAGGAGAAAAUAUGCAGGAAAGAAGAGUUAAGAGAGUUAUGAAUGCAGAAGAAGAUAAAGAAGUCUAAAACAAGUUGACCGUAUUGCAUGGUUUUGGAGCCUGGAUCCACUGUGAUGGGAGUGUCCAGGAGGUCUUCUGUGGCCCACAGAGUCUGCUGGGAGGUGAACACUUUCAUGAUGAAAUCAUCUUUAGAACUGCUGACACUUCCCUGCGUAACAGUCCUUGUCUGGAUAAAAAGGUUUUCCUG